RNAcentral lists this ribosomal RNA (427 nucleotides) under uncultured bacterium. RNAcentral's name for it is "bacterial SSU rRNA". It matches the Rfam family "Bacterial small subunit ribosomal RNA", at positions 355 to 774 of the family's 1533-position model. The record is from RNAcentral.
UGGGGAAUUUUGGACAAUGGGCGAAAGCCUGAUCCAGCAAUGCCGCGUGCAGGAUGAAGGCCCUCGGGUUGUAAACUGCUUUUGUACGGAACGAAAAGCCUGGGGCUAAUACCCCCGGGUCAUGACGGUACCGUAAGAAUAAGCACCGGCUAACUACGUGCCAGCAGCCGCGGUAAUACGUAGGGUGCAAGCGUUAAUCGGAAUUACUGGGCGUAAAGCGUGCGCAGGCGGUUUUGUAAGACAGUAGUGAAAUCCCCGGGCUCAACCUGGGAACUGCCAUUGUGACUGCAAAGCUAGAGUGCGGCAGAGGGGGAUGGAAUUCCGCGUGUAGCAGUGAAAUGCGUAGAUAUGCGGAGGAACACCGAUGGCGAAGGCAAUCCCCUGGGCCUGCACUGACGCUCAUGCAUGAAAGCGUGGGGAGCAAACA